UCAGUUUCUUAAUCUCACUCCAGUUAAUCACAAACUCCCUGAUUCAACCUCUCUUUGCUUCUACCAUUGGUUGUCCUUUUUCCACCACUAAUUCUCUGGCCAAAGUCUUGAUGUUUCCCCAGAGAUGUCACCGGUAUAACACUCCAGUUUCAGGAAUAUAGUGAUGCAUGCGAAGAAUUUUAAAAGAAUCAAUUUGGUCAUUGGUGUCACUAAAAUACAUUUAUCUUUUCGGGUGUCACUAAAAUGCAUUUAUCUUUUCGGUCAAAUGUUCUCAAAAAUACUCUGAAGUUAAACGUGUUUGAGCUGGAAUAAUUUUUAGGUGAGCGACCUUCCGAAAAAUAAUUAUUGUCCAAAAAAGAAAUAUGUACAUCAAAGAGUGUAAAAGAUUUAUCAUGUCAUGUUACU
RNAcentral lists this small RNA (405 nucleotides) under Arabidopsis thaliana (thale cress). RNAcentral's name for it is "ATSL115200". The record is from RNAcentral. Lineage: Eukaryota; Viridiplantae; Streptophyta; Magnoliopsida; Brassicales; Brassicaceae.